CACUAUCAUGUGUCUUUGAAAGCUUCCAAGAUGAUAAAAUGCUUUCCCACAUUGCUUACAUUCAUAGGAUUGUUCUCCAGUGUGAGUCCUUUCAUACAGUUGAGUGUAACAGGAACAACUGAAGGCUUUCCCACAUUGUUUACAUUGAUAGGGUUUCUCUCCACUGUGUGUUCUUUCAUGUCUUAGAGUGGAACUAUAAGCAGGAAACGCUGUAGAACACUGCUCAUAUUCAUAUGGUUUCUCUUCAGUGUGAGUUCUUCUAAGCAUAUGAAAUAAACUAGGCCAAAUAAAGGCGUUUCCACACAACUUACAUAUACGAGGUCCAUCUCCAUGGUGUGCUGCCAUGUGUCUUUGAAGGUUUUCAAGAGAACUGAAGCUUGCACAUUCCUUACAAUCAUAGAGUUUCUUUCCAUGCUGAGGUCUUUCAUGUAUUUGAAAGCAGGGCUGAUAACUGAAAGCUGUCCCACAUUGUGUAUGUGUAUAUGGCUUCUCUCCAUAUUCUUGAUACUCAUAUGGUUUGUGUUCACUGUCAACUCUAAUGUAGCAAUUAAGAGAUGAACGACCCAUGAGGACGUCUGUACACUCACUGCUUUCCCAUGGAUCUACUCCAGUGGGUCUGCAGUUCUUGUCAUGACAAAGUCCUACUACCUAUUGUGCAAAAGAGAGUUACCAGCAAGAAGGCUCUCACCAGAUGCCCAGCCUUGAUGCUGGGCUUCCCACCCUCCAGAAGUGUAAAAAAUAAAUAUCAUUUCUUAUAAAUUACCCAGGUUAAAGUAUUCUGUUAUAAGCAACAAAAAACAGACUAAGCCAUGAA
This 814-nucleotide long non-coding RNA is filed under the name Pan troglodytes (chimpanzee). Its description in RNAcentral is "long non-coding RNA NONPTRT008367". The record is from RNAcentral. Lineage: Eukaryota; Metazoa; Chordata; Mammalia; Primates; Hominidae.